UACGUAGGGUCCAAGCGUUAAUCGGAAUUACUGGGCGUAAAGCGUGAGUAGGCGGUUUCGCAAGUCCGAUGUGAAAUCCCCGGGCUUAACCUGGGAACUGCGUUGGAAACUACGAAGCUAGAGUGCGGCAGAGGGGGGUGGAAUUCCAGGUGUAGCAGUGAAAUGCGUAGAGAUCUGGAGGAACACCGAUGGCGAAGGCAGCCCCCUGGGUUAGCACUGACGCUCAUACACGAAAGCGUGGGGAGCAAACAGGAUUAGAUACCCUGGUAGUCCACGCCCUAAACGAUGGCAACUAGUUGUUGGGGGAUGAACUCCCUUAGUAACGCAGCUAACGCGUGAAGUUGCCCGCCUGGGGAGUACGGUCGCAAGAUUAAA
This 375-nucleotide ribosomal RNA is filed under the name uncultured bacterium. RNAcentral describes it as "bacterial SSU rRNA". It matches the Rfam family "Bacterial small subunit ribosomal RNA", at positions 524 to 898 of the family's 1533-position model. The record is from RNAcentral.